Molecule: long non-coding RNA, 782 nt
Filed under: Fragaria vesca (wild strawberry)
Lineage: Eukaryota; Viridiplantae; Streptophyta; Magnoliopsida; Rosales; Rosaceae
Description: long non-coding RNA (FVES_LNC003820)
Source: RNAcentral
GCCACCGUCCGGCCAGCCACCAGCUGCUAGCCCACCCCAGUUUUGACCCCCAUCACCUCCUCUCUCUCCCCGGCCAAGCCCCCGAGCCGUUAGCCCGCCGGAAGAGGAGAAAACUCGCCGGAGUCGUCGGGAAGCUUUUUGCCAGAAAUCCCACCUCCGGCCACCAUAGGUCGAAAUCUUUGGCUCAUCUUGUAGCCCUCAUCGAGGUGAGUAUUCCCUCAAAAGGAAUUAGUCUAUUUCGUUGUUGUUAUGGAGAAAUGUAUAAUUGAAGUUUUUAGGGAUUUAUGAAAGUUUUGAUUCAUUGGCUCUAGUUAGCUUUAGAAAUGGACUAAGUGCUAGUUAUGAAUGUUGUUGAGCAUGAUGAGAGGAAUAUUCUGUGAAAAUUUGAGAAGCAUUGGAGGUCGCCGGAAAACGGCUGCCGGCCGCCGCCCCUUAGGGGCAGUUUUUCAUGCUUUUUGGGUUUGUUUUAAUGAGAGGAGUUUAAUGAAGUAUAGUUUGGAAUUUUUGGAGGAGAUUUGAUAAGGUUUAGGAUUUAUCUAUGACUAAGGAUUUGGCGGUUAUUCGAAUGGAAAUCCGGCAGUUGGUUUAGCAGGUUUUAAAGUCUAAAAAGGUUAAAUUAUGGCUUUCGGUAAGUGCGAAGUAAUGUGAGCCUUAUUAGGUAAAAUGUGGAGAAGUUAGGCAAGAGAAAUGAAAUUAUAGGCUUCCUUUUAUUUCGGAAAUUUGAUUAAAGUUUUGUCCUGGUUUGGAGGCUAAAUGAUUAUUUAUUGUUCAGGACGUGAGGN